This is a non-coding RNA of Chlorocebus sabaeus (green monkey), 376 nucleotides long. Lineage: Eukaryota; Metazoa; Chordata; Mammalia; Primates; Cercopithecidae. The record is from RefSeq and is a predicted model, not a curated record.
AGGGAUACAGCAUCUCUUAUCCAAGCAUAUUCCACAAAAAGUGGGUUUGUAACUCUGAGUACUUGAGCAUCCAGAAAAGACAAAUUUUUCAGCUUUGGAGAGUUGGAAAUUGCUGUUUUCAUUGGUCACCCUAUUAGAUAUUCCCAUCCCACAUGUUCUGGAGCAGGGAGUCCACUUUGUUGCUUGCACAAGACAUUUUUUUUUCCAAAUAAGUGGGAGAUUUCUAUAAGCUAAAAUGGAGAAAAGUACAUAUGUAUACAUAUAAAUGUACUUGUAUAAAUGGAUAAUUUUUAAUCAUGUUUAAGCUAAUGUUUAAGAAAUCUGAAUAUUUUUGUAUAAUAUAACUCAGAAUAAAAGAAGCUGAUGGUCUAAUUUA